CCUACGGGAGGCAGCAGUAGGGAAUAUUGGGCAAUGGAGGCAACUCUGACCCAGCCAUGCCGCGUGCAGGAUGAAGGCGUUAUGCGUUGUAAACUGCUUUUAUAUAGGAAGAAAUAGACCUUGCGAGGUAAGUUGACGGUACUAUAUGAAUAAGCACCGGCUAACUCCGUGCCAGCAGCCGCGGUAAUACGGAGGGUGCAAGCGUUGUCCGGAUUUAUUGGGUUUAAAGGGUGCGUAGGCGGUUUAUUAAGUCAGUGGUGAAAGACGGUCGCUCAACGAUUGCAGUGCCAUUGAUACUGGUAGACUUGAGUGAGAUUGAGGUAGCUGGAAUGGAUAGUGUAGCGGUGAAAUGCAUAGAUAUUAUCCAGAACACCAAUUGCGUAGGCAAGUUACUAAGUCUCAACUGACGCUGAGGCACGAAAGUGUGGGUAUCAAACAGGAUUAGAUACCCUGGUAGUCCACACUGUAAACGAUGAUAACUAACUGUUGGCUUUUGGGUCAGUGGUACAGAGAAAUCGUUAAGUUAUCCACCUGGGGAGUACGCCGGNAACGGUGAAACUUAAAUGAAUUGACGGCUGAGAGAGCGACGACGACGACGAGGGAGGAGG
RNAcentral lists this ribosomal RNA (608 nucleotides) under uncultured bacterium. RNAcentral describes it as "bacterial SSU rRNA". It matches the Rfam family "Bacterial small subunit ribosomal RNA", at positions 338 to 951 of the family's 1533-position model. The record is from RNAcentral.